RNAcentral lists this ribosomal RNA (502 nucleotides) under uncultured Chitinophagaceae bacterium. Its description in RNAcentral is "bacterial SSU rRNA". It matches the Rfam family "Bacterial small subunit ribosomal RNA", at positions 1 to 507 of the family's 1533-position model. The record is from RNAcentral. Lineage: Bacteria; Pseudomonadati; Bacteroidota; Chitinophagia; Chitinophagales; Chitinophagaceae.
UAGAGUUUGAUCCUGGCUCAGGAUGAACGCUAGCGGCAGGCUUAAUACAUGCAAGUACGAGGGGUAAAUAAGUAGCAAUAUUAUGAGACCGGCAAACGGGUGCGGAACACGUACGCAACUUUCCUUAGAGCGGGGAAUAGCCCAGAGAAAUUUGGAUUAAUACCCCAUAGUAUAAUGAAGAAGCCUUUCUUUAUUAUUAAAGAUUUAUCACUCUAAGAUGGGCGUGCGGCUGAUUAGGUAGUUGGCGGGGUAACGGCCCACCAAGCCUACGAUCAGUAGCUGAUGUGAGAGCAUGAUCAGCCACACGGGCACUGAGACACGGGCCCGACUCCUACGGGAGGCAGCAGUAAGGAAUAUUGGUCAAUGGACGAAAGUCUGAACCAGCCAUGCCGCGUGGAGGAUGAAGGUCCUCUGGAUUGUAAACUUCUUUUAUUUGGGAAGAAAUGUGAGAAUUCUUUUUCACUUGACGGUACCAGAUGAAUAAGCACCGGCUAACUCCGUG